CUGAAUUCUAAAAUAGCUACUAUGAAGGGCAACGUGGACAGACUGGCAACUAGGGUGUCUUGACCCACAGGGAUCCGUGGUGAUGGCUAAUAACCCCUGGUGUUCCUGGGAAAGAUUGGGAGUCACCAAGAUGAAUCGUGGCCGAUGACGGUUGUCUGCCAUCAACCUAAUCACAACUGCUGUGCUGUCUUCACUGGAACAGAUCAACACGGCCCUGGUUCCUGGCAUGCAGCUAGUGGUCUGGUGAAUGCAUUCUUUCCAUUCCCAUCAAUAAAAAGGACCAAAGGCAGUUCAUG
This 296-nucleotide long non-coding RNA is filed under the name Equus asinus (donkey). Its description in RNAcentral is "lncRNA (ENSEASG00005023534.1)". Lineage: Eukaryota; Metazoa; Chordata; Mammalia; Perissodactyla; Equidae. The record is from RNAcentral.